GAUGAACGCUGGCGGCGUGCCUAAUACAUGCAAGUCGAGCGAACAGAUGAGGAGCUUGCUCCUCUGACGUUAGUGGCGGACGGGUGAGUAACACGUGGAUAACCUACCUAUAAGACUGGGAUAACUUCGGGAAACCGGAGCUAAUACCGGAUAAUAUAUUGAACCGCAUGGUUCAAUAGUGAAAGACGGUUUUGCUGUCACUUAUAGAUGGAUCCGCGCCGCAUUAGCUAGUUGGUAAGGUAACGGCUUACCAAGGCGACGAUGCGUAGCCGACCUGAGAGGGUGAUCGGCCACACUGGAACUGAGACACGGUCCAGACUCCUACGGGAGGCAGCAGUAGGGAAUCUUCCGCAAUGGGCGAAAGCUUGACGGAGCAACGCCGCGUGAGUGAUGAAGGUCUUCGGAUCGUAAAACUCUGUUAUUAGGGAAGAACAAAUGUGUAAGUAACUAUGCACGUCUUGACGGUACCUAAUCAGAAAGCCACGGCUAACUACGUG
This 497-nucleotide ribosomal RNA is filed under the name uncultured bacterium. RNAcentral describes it as "partial 16S ribosomal RNA". It matches the Rfam family "Bacterial small subunit ribosomal RNA", at positions 28 to 507 of the family's 1533-position model. The record is from RNAcentral.